AAUUGCCAAAUUAGGCGGCGCAUUGAAAAGAUCUGAUCCGGAGUAUUAUCUGUCUUUCCAGUAGGGCUCUUUGGUUCCCCAGAUGCCCCUGAAGAGCCCACUGCCCUCCCUCAUCUCCAGCUCCUUACUGCCCACGCUCUGGGCCUCACAGUGCUGAUCGCUCUGGCUCUAACUAUUUGCCUGGUCGUGAAGUUUGUGUGUUUCCCCAAGAAGGGCAAGGAGCCAUCUUGCUGGGACCUUGGCACGCCUUGUGGUGAGAGUGGGAACUGCAGUGACUCCAUCACCACCUUCCCCUGCCAGGUCAAACAGUUCCCGAAUGACACCGGAAACUUCAGUACAGGUAGAAAUGGUCUGGUAGCCCUCAGCAGUAAUAAAUCAGG
RNAcentral lists this long non-coding RNA (380 nucleotides) under Lepisosteus oculatus (spotted gar). Its description in RNAcentral is "lncRNA (ENSLOCG00000022474.1)". The record is from RNAcentral. Lineage: Eukaryota; Metazoa; Chordata; Actinopteri; Semionotiformes; Lepisosteidae.